RNAcentral lists this ribosomal RNA (292 nucleotides) under uncultured bacterium. Its description in RNAcentral is "partial 16S ribosomal RNA". It matches the Rfam family "Bacterial small subunit ribosomal RNA", at positions 505 to 796 of the family's 1533-position model. The record is from RNAcentral.
GUGUCAGCCGCCGCGGUAAUACGGGGGGGGCAAGCGUUGUUCGGAAUUACUGGGCGUAAAGGGCUCGUAGGCUGCCAACUAAGUCGGACGUGAAAUCCCUCGGCUUAACCGGGGAACUGCGUCCGAUACUGGAUGGCUUGAGUUUGGGAGAGGGAUGCGGAAUUCCAGGUGUAGCGGUGAAAUGCGUAGAUAUCUGGAGGAACACCGGUGGCGAAGGCGGCAUCCUGGACCAACACUGACGCUGAUGAGCGAAAGCCAGGGGAGCAAACGGGAUUAGAUACCCUAGUAGUCC